GAUGAACGCUAGCGGCAGGCCUAAUACAUGCAAGUCGAGGGGUAUGAUUUUGAGUUUACUUGAAAUAGAGACCGGCGCACGGGUGCGUAACACGUAUGCAACCUACCCUUUACAGGGGGAUAGCUCAGAGAAAUCUGAAUUAAUACCCCAUAGUUACAUUUCACUGCAUGGUGAGAUGUAUAAAGCUCCGGCGGUAAAGGAUGGGCAUGCGUUACAUUAGCUAGUUGGUGAGGUAAUGGCUCACCAAGGCUACGAUGUAUAGGGGUUCUGAGAGGAUGAUCCCCCACACUGGUACUGAGACACGGACCAGACUCCUACGGGAGGCAGCAGUAGGGAAUAUUGGACAAUGGACGCAAGUCUGAUCCAGCCAUGCCGCGUGCAGGAUGACAGCCCUCUGGGUUGUAAACUGCUUUUAUAUGAGAAGAAACCCUCAGAUGCGU
Molecule: ribosomal RNA, 440 nt
Filed under: uncultured Bacteroidota bacterium
Lineage: Bacteria; Pseudomonadati; Bacteroidota
Description: bacterial SSU rRNA
Rfam family: Bacterial small subunit ribosomal RNA
Source: RNAcentral